GCGUAUUCAGUCGGGCACAGCUGGAACGACUGCUAAUACCCGAUGUGCCCUUCGGUGAAAGAUUUUUUGUCGCCUGAUGAUCUCGCGUCGGAUUAUCUAGUUGGUGGGGUGUAAUGCACUACCGCGACGAUCAUCGGUUGGUGUGUUAGGAUGACCAUCCACCCUGGUGCUGAUACACGGCCCACACUCCUCCUGGAGGCGGCAGUGGGGAAUUUUUUUCCAUGGGGGAAAGCCUGACGAAGCAAUACCACCUGGGGGAGGAAGGCCUUUGGGUUGUAAACCUCUUUUUUUCUGGAAGAAGAAGCUCUGACGGUACCUGAGGAAUCAUCAUCUGCUUCCUCCGCGCCAGCCGCCGCGAUACUACGGAUGAUGCCAGCGUUCUCCAGAAUUGGUGGGCGAAAAGCCUCCGCAGGCUGAUAAAUAAUUCUGCUUUAAAAGAGUGGGGCUCAACCCCAUAGAGGGAGUGGAAACUGUUUAGCUAGUGCGAUGGUAGGUAACAGAGAAUUCCCCCAGUGUAGGUGAAAAAAUGCGUAGAUAUUGAAGAACAACACCGGUGGAAAACGCGCUCUGCUGGACCACUACUGACUGCUGAACGAAAACUGCUGGAGGAGAAUGGGAUUAUUAUAUCCCCGCUUGUCAUCA
RNAcentral lists this ribosomal RNA (642 nucleotides) under Phormidium tenue BTA803. Its description in RNAcentral is "partial 16S ribosomal RNA". It matches the Rfam family "Bacterial small subunit ribosomal RNA", at positions 126 to 799 of the family's 1533-position model. The record is from RNAcentral. Lineage: Bacteria; Bacillati; Cyanobacteriota; Cyanophyceae; Oscillatoriales; Oscillatoriaceae.